AUUGAACGCUGGCGGCAGGCCUAACACAUGCAAGUCGAGCGGAUGAAGGGAGCUUGCUCCUGGUUUCAGCGGCGGACGGGUGAGUAAUGCCUAGGAAUCUGCCUGGUAGUGGGGGAUAACGUCCGGAAACGGGCGCUAAUACCGCAUACGUCCUGAGGGAGAAAGUGGGGGAUCUUCGGACCUCACGCUCUCAGAUGAACCUAGGCCGGAUUAGCUAGUUGGUGGGGUAAAGGCCUACCAAGGCGACGAUCCGUAACUGGUCUGAGAGGAUGAUCAGUCACACUGGAACUGAGACACGGUCCAGACUCCUACGGGAGGCAGCAGUGGGGAAUAUUGGACAAUGGCGAAAGCCUGAUCCAGCCAUGCCGCGUGUGUGAAGAAGGUCUUCGGAUUGUAAAGCACUUUAAGUUGGGAGGAAGGGCAGUAAGUUAAUACCUUGCUGUUUUGACGUUACCAACAGAAUAAGCACCGGCUAACUUCGUG
This 483-nucleotide ribosomal RNA is filed under the name uncultured bacterium. RNAcentral's name for it is "partial 16S ribosomal RNA". It matches the Rfam family "Bacterial small subunit ribosomal RNA", at positions 30 to 507 of the family's 1533-position model. The record is from RNAcentral.